Non-coding RNA from Podarcis muralis (Common wall lizard), 948 nucleotides. Lineage: Eukaryota; Metazoa; Chordata; Lepidosauria; Squamata; Lacertidae. The record is from RefSeq and is a predicted model, not a curated record.
UUUCCAACAGCACCCUUGCAAAAAUCAGUUAUUUAUUUGCACAUCAGUUUGCCAAGCAUUCCUUUAAUAUGAAGCCUGGAUGAUUUCUCUACAGUUGGGGUGAGGAACUUUAGGCCUUCCAGAUAUUAUUAGACUCUCACUCCCAUUAGCCCCAAGCAGUCUGACCAAUGGUCAAGGAUAAUGGAACUUGGAAUCCAGUAAUAUCUGAGGGAACUCAGACCCCUCUCUAUUUUUCAGGCCUAGCUGUAAAUUAAUGAAUCAAUCCACAUAUUAAUGCAACCGGCGUUUGACUUAAGCCAGCUAUCAGUAGCUGGACAGUUGACGGCUUAUGUGUUGGAGACUCAAGUCCAUGAAACUUGCAGGGUUACCUUUGCCAAAUCAGGAUCUCUCACAGCUUUGUUGAAAUAAUAAAUAAUGUAAAGUCGCUGGGUUUGUUCGUUUGUUUGUUUUUAAAAAAGAGAGCCAUAGGCGGCAACCAGCAAGUAACCUAGACAACCAAGACGGUUGUGUCCAGGGGAGAGAAGGAAGAGUGAAUGAAUGUUGGCUGAGGUAAAAGCAAAGAGGCCUUUUAGCUGCACGCUCACUGAGGAGAAUAAGCACAUUUAGAUGUGAGUGAAACAUCGUGUGAUAUUCUCUUGCAUGAGGUGCUGCUGCUGUUGAGGGAGAUAAAGUAAUCAGUAAGGUGUGAUAGAGACACCUGAGGUUUUUGAGAGAGCAGCUGAGGCCCAGUGUGUGGUGCCUCAGAAAACCUGACGUAUCUCAUGUUCCAUUGAGAAGCCCAGUAGAGUGGCCAAAGUCCAGCUGUAGCCAUGGUUUCCUUUGCACUGACUUCUUUCUUCUGAACUGGUCUUGGCUGAGUAAUUAGACAGCACAGCGUAUUGGAUUAGCACACAUCAGUGAUGCAUAUUAAUCACAGAAUGGAGACAGAGCACUACGAGAUGCAACAGA